Non-coding RNA from Pelobates cultripes (western spadefoot toad), 241 nucleotides. Lineage: Eukaryota; Metazoa; Chordata; Amphibia; Anura; Pelobatidae. The record is from the annotation of a GenBank genome assembly.
AGAGAGAUAACAUUGUCUCAUCCCCGGUGCCCAUGAGUCCCAUAGGAGUUCCCUAGCAGCCUGCGAUAGUUCUCCGGUCUUCCAGGCCCCCCGGAAAGAGUCCAAGCCACCAGGGGUAAACGAUCAUCCAAUAGCAACACAUGAGGGUUCCCUUUUGGAUUCGUGAGGAGUGUUGGAUAGGACGGCAGUAAGAGCGGAUCCACGUAGGACAAUGCCAUUAGGUUCGGAAACCGUAGUUGAC